GAUGAACGCUAGCGGGAGGCCUAACACAUGCAAGCCGAGCGGUAGAGUCUCUUCGGAGACUUGAGAGCGGCGCACGGGUGCGGAACACGUGUGCAACCUGCCUUUAUCUGGGGGAUAGCCUUUCGAAAGGAAGAUUAAUACCCCAUAAUAUACUGGAUGGCAUCAUCUGGUAUUGAAAACUACGGUGGAUAGAGAUGGGCACGCGCAAGAUUAGAUAGUUGGUGAGGUAACGGCUCACCAAGUCAGCGAUCUUUAGGGGGCCUGAGAGGGUGAUCCCCCACACUGGUACUGAGACACGGACCAGACUCCUACGCGAGGCAGCAGUGAGGAAUAUUAGACAAUGGGUGAGAGCCUGAUCCAGCCAUCCCGCGUGAAGGACGACGGCCCUAUGGGUUGUAAACUUCUUUUGUAUAGGGAUAAACCUAGAUACGUGUAUCUAGCUGAAGGUACUAUACGAAUAAGCACCGGCUAACUCCGUG
RNAcentral lists this ribosomal RNA (479 nucleotides) under uncultured bacterium. Its description in RNAcentral is "partial 16S ribosomal RNA". It matches the Rfam family "Bacterial small subunit ribosomal RNA", at positions 28 to 507 of the family's 1533-position model. The record is from RNAcentral.